UGGAGGAACAACCCCAGUGGGGCAGCCAGCUCUGGAGCCCUGGAUUCAGCUCCCACAGGAACUACAGAGCUCCCUGUCCGCAGGACCUGGAUGCUCCGGGGCGGG
Molecule: microRNA precursor, 105 nt
Filed under: Canis lupus familiaris (dog)
Lineage: Eukaryota; Metazoa; Chordata; Mammalia; Carnivora; Canidae
Also listed under: 1 other name
Description: mir-8834 microRNA precursor family
Rfam family: mir-8834 microRNA precursor family
Source: Rfam by way of RNAcentral